AGUCUGCAACUCGACUACAUGAAGCUGGAAUCGCUAGUAAUCGCGGAUCAGAAUGCCGCGGUGAAUACGUUCCCGGGUCUUGUACACACCGCCCGUCACACCAUGGGAGUCGAUAACGCCCGAAGUCAGUGACCCAACCUGUAAGGAGGGAGCUGCCGAAGGCGGGAUUGAUAACUGGGGUGAAGUCGUAACAAGGUACC
Molecule: ribosomal RNA, 200 nt
Filed under: uncultured bacterium
Lineage: Bacteria
Description: partial 16S ribosomal RNA
Rfam family: Bacterial small subunit ribosomal RNA
Source: RNAcentral